RNAcentral lists this ribosomal RNA (254 nucleotides) under uncultured bacterium. Its description in RNAcentral is "partial 16S ribosomal RNA". It matches the Rfam family "Bacterial small subunit ribosomal RNA", at positions 524 to 776 of the family's 1533-position model. The record is from RNAcentral.
UACGGGGGGAGCAAGCGUUGUUCGGAUUUACUGGGCGUAAAGGGCGCGUAGGCGGCCACCGCAAGUCGACUGUGAAAUCUCCGGGCUUAACCCGGAAAGGUCAGCCGAUACUGCGGGGCUAGAGUGCAGAAGGGGCAACUGGAAUUCUCGGUGUAGCGGUGAAAUGCGUAGAUAUCGGGAGGAACACCUGCGGCGAAGGCGGGUUACUGGGCUGACACUGACGCUGAUGCGCGAAAGCUAGGGGAGCGAACGGG